CACCAGACUCCUACGGGAGGCAGCAGUGGGGAAUAUUGCACAAUGGGGGAAACCCUGAUGCAGCAACGCCGCGUGAGUGAAGAAGUAUUUCGGUAUGUAAAGCUCUAUCAGCAGGGAAGAAGAAAGACGGUACCUGACUAAGAAGCCCCGGCUAACUACGUGCCAGCAACCGCGGUAAUACGUAGGGGGCAAGCGUUAUCCGAAUUUACUGGGUGUAAAGGGAGCGUAGACGGCGAUGCAAGUCUGAAGUGAAAGGCGGGGGCCCAACCCCCGGACUGCUUUGGAAACUGUAUGGCUGGAGUGCAGGAGAGGUAAGUGGAAUUCCCAGUGUAGCGGUGAAAUGCGUAGAUAUUAGGAGGAACACCAGUGGCGAAGGCGGCUUACUGGACUGUAACUGACGUUGAGGCUCGAAAGCGUGGGGAGCACACAGGAUUAGAUACCCCGGUAA
RNAcentral lists this ribosomal RNA (448 nucleotides) under uncultured bacterium. RNAcentral describes it as "bacterial SSU rRNA". It matches the Rfam family "Bacterial small subunit ribosomal RNA", at positions 329 to 793 of the family's 1533-position model. The record is from RNAcentral.